This is a long non-coding RNA of Labeo rohita (rohu), 421 nucleotides long. RefSeq lists it as uncharacterized. The record is from RefSeq and is a predicted model, not a curated record. Lineage: Eukaryota; Metazoa; Chordata; Actinopteri; Cypriniformes; Cyprinidae. The transcript has 3 exons.
CUCGCGUGUUCAGCCAUGGUUAUACGACACCGUCAGGCUUAGCUCGUUAGUUUUGUUAGAUUAAUUUAAAUAAGCGAAACUAUGAUGUUUACAAAUAAAAUACCAGUUUUUCUAUUCGGAAGAUUUCCAUGCUUACGGCUUCGAAGUCAUCUAACACAAAUCUACGAACUGAGGAUCUGCUCAUGGAUUACUAUAUCGCUGGAGAUCGUCUGACCCUGCUGAGUAAGUUUGGUGAUCGUAUCUGGAGGACAUGGCUCACUUCUACCUGGCUGAGGUGCUGAUGGCCAUCGAUUCAGUCCACAGACUCGGUUCUGUGCACAGGUGGAGAACUUCAUUCCAUUGUGUGGACUCAGUGAGUCACCUGAAGAAAGAAGAAACUUUCAUUAUAAAGACACUUUCAUUUGGACAUCUAAAAUAAAAU